UAAGGAAUAUUGGUCAAUGGACGCAAGUCUGAACCAGCCAUGCCGCGUGAAGGAAGACGGCCCUACGGGUUGUAAACUUCUUUUGUACGGGAAAAAAUCUCCGGUCGUGAAUCGGAGCUGAUGGUACCGUAAGAAUAAGCAUCGGCUAACUCCGUGCCAGCAGCCGCGGUAAUACGGAGGAUGCGAGCGUUAUCCGGAUUCAUUGGGUUUAAAGGGUGCGUAGGCGGACUAUUAAGUCAGUGGUGAAAUCCUGCAGCUUAACUGCAGAACUGCCAUUGAUACUGAUAGCCUUGAGUUUGGUUGAGGUAGGCGGAAUGUGUCAUGUAGCGGUGAAAUGCUUAGAUAUGACACAGAACACCAAUCGCGAAGGCAGCUUACCAAGCAAUAACUGACGCUCAUGCACGAAAGCGUGGGGAUCAAACA
RNAcentral lists this ribosomal RNA (423 nucleotides) under uncultured prokaryote. Its description in RNAcentral is "bacterial SSU rRNA". It matches the Rfam family "Bacterial small subunit ribosomal RNA", at positions 355 to 774 of the family's 1533-position model. The record is from RNAcentral.